RNAcentral lists this unclassified non-coding RNA (335 nucleotides) under soil metagenome. Its description in RNAcentral is "partial contains 5.8S ribosomal RNA, internal transcribed spacer 2, and large subunit ribosomal RNA". The stretch from base 1 to 120 matches the Rfam family "5.8S ribosomal RNA", at positions 35 to 154 of the family's 154-position model. The record is from RNAcentral.
GAUGAAGAACGUAGCGAAAUGCGAUAAGUAAUGUGAAUUGCAGAAUUCAGUGAAUCAUCGAAUCUUUGAACGCACAUUGCGCCCGCCAGUAUUCUGGCGGGCAUGCCUGUUCGAGCGUCAUUUCAACCAUCAAGCCCCCGGCUUGUGUUGGGGACCUGCGGCUGCCGCAGGCCCUGAAAACCAGUGGCGGGCUCGCUAGUCACUCCGAGCGUAGUAAUACAUCUCGCUCAGGGCGUGCUGCGGGUUCCGGCCGUUAAAAAGCCUUAUUUACCCAAGGUUGACCUCGGAUCAGGUAGGAAGACCCGCUGAACUUAAGAAUAUCAAUAAGCGGAGGA